This 230-nucleotide ribosomal RNA is filed under the name uncultured bacterium. Its description in RNAcentral is "partial 16S ribosomal RNA". It matches the Rfam family "Bacterial small subunit ribosomal RNA", at positions 563 to 791 of the family's 1533-position model. The record is from RNAcentral.
AAGCGUGCGCAGGCGGUUUUGUAAGACUGUCGUGAAAUCCCCGGGCCUCAACCUGGGAAUGGCGAUGGUGACUGCAAGGCUAGAGUUUGGCAGAGGGGGGUAGAAUUCCACGUGUAGCAGUGAAAUGCGUAGAUAUGUGGAGGAACACCGAUGGCGAAGGCAGCCCCCUGGGUCAAAACUGACGCUCAUGCACGAAAGCGUGGGGAGCAAACAGGAUUAGAUACCCCUGU